UUCAUUGAGGAGGUACAGUGUAAGCUAGUCUAAUUUUCAGGAAGGUGUAACAAAGUGUACAUGUGGUAGACAAAAAGGAUGGCUCCUCACCUGACACGUUUAAUGAUUCAGUCACGUUUCAACUCAGGGGAAAAGCCGAGGUGACAAGAAUCCGGAAGAAGUAUCAUUUAACGCCUAUUAAAUAGCCUCAGUAGACCGCGUUCUCGUCAAAUUUUGCUGCAGUUUUGCCUGGUACAUAUCGUCAGACUUCUGGAUAAAGACUCUGGCAAACUGAACAAAGGUAUUGGAACAGAACGACAACUGUGCGAGACAAUUCCCUUAAUAACAGCAAAGAAUGAUGAAAAUCUUUGUUUUAGUUCUCUGCGCAAGUUUGCAUCUUGGCAGUGCAGGUAUGUAUUUUAAUCGUCACUGAGUAUCUUGACUGUUUUGUUUGUUGAUGUGUAAUAAGACAGUAAUGUAUCGAAGGUUCACUGUUCAGUGGACUUCGCUCAGCCUUUCCCAGGAAGUGGUCAUCAUUUGCAUAAUCCUAUCACACGACCUUAUCCAAGAGAAAAUAAAGUGGUCUCUUGUUUUAUCAAAGCUUUCAUACUUUAAGAUUUACAGGCUAUGGCCUUGAAUACCCCCCUCCAGCUCCUCAAGACAAAAAAAAAAGCCCGGAUAGAACAGAGUUCAGCAUCAUGACGUAAUUUCAUGACGUCACUUCUAUAGUACAGAGUGUAAACCGUUGUCAAAAUGUAGUAUGGGAAACAAACAGAGAUAUGCGAUUACAAUAUCCAAACUCCUGCAGCUCUAAACGACGUGCCAGUGGCCAAUACGUUCUUAUUGUUUUAGAUUCUUUUGACUCCUUUAACUUCACUUCAAUUGAACGUUUUGUCGACUUAACGUGGUAUCCGGUUAUCCCUAUAAAGUUUUCUUCAAGAUACUUACAGCUCGGAGUGGAGAUUAUCAGUUUUCAACACUUAUGAACCGUUUCAGAUCUAAAUCGUAUUAUUCUGGCAAACAGCAACUUUUUUUUUUCUGUAGAAUCAAAGUGGCUAUGAGCCACUGAACUUGCAAAAUGGAUUGUCUGUCAGACAACAUGCAGUGACAAUUUUGAUGCCAUGCACCGACUUAAGGUUUUAAUCCGUAGGUUAAGUUAAAGUUAAAGCACACUGGCAAAACGCAACUGUAAGAGAAUACACGAGGAGAUGUGGCAACGUUUGAAACAUUCAUGAAGUUAUUGGUGAUCCCCGUUCGAGACAAUUAUAAAUAAAGUACGCUUCUUGUCCGAUCAGCAAAGCAAGUAUAAUCGGAUUGUCAUUUUCAUUUCUAUUUUUUUCGUUCUUUAUUUUCCCAGGCGAUUUUUGCUAUCAGUGAUUUUUUUCUAUCUUUGUCACCUUUUGAGAGAUCUUAGAAACGAAAAAAAGUUAUCCAACGUAGGGUCAUCAUACCACAAAGACAGCACCGCGUCGACGCGUCCGCUCAACAAAGUUAAGCCCUGUUCGGCGGGGUUCCUUCAUGCUUGGAUGGGUUACCAAAUACCAAUCCCCCAUGUUGUAAUAACUUUUCUUUUUCUUUUCUUUCUUUUUUUUUUUUUCUUCUUCCCUUUCCAAGGCGAUAUUAGUGACCCCUCGGAACUCCCAGUCUUGUGUAAUGCCUUUUGUUUUCUAUUUAUCAACUAUUUUGUUCAAAUCAUUUCGCCAUGUAAGUAAGUAAGUAAGUAAAAGCUUUAUUAAUGUGUCAAUGUAUUUAUCUUUGAAAUAUAGCGAAACGCGUCGUUCGAAUUCUCCUCAAUUCUCUUGUCUGUUGAUCGUCCAAAACUUUUAAUCACGGAUUGAAUCAUAAUUCGAACAUUCAUACAGCUCAUCAAUUUUGUGAUUUUCAAUAUCCCCUCAGUUUUCGGCAAUCGAGUACGGUUAAACUUGUAUAAGCGGACACCUUCGGGAAAUGAGCUAUUUAUAACUUAAUAGCUUCUAUAUAUAAAAACGUUCGUGCGAAAAUCUAUUCAAUGUAGAUCAUUUCUGUGGUAAGAUAUUGAGCACUUGCAUCAGAAAUUCAAAGAACGACUAACUAGACACGGUGCAAUCGACUGUAAAACGGCCUUGGACAGCGCGAUGUUCGAAACCCGGAAGGACUCCAGUAUGAGAAGGCCGGAGAUGCUCGUCGUCUCGGGUAGAAAUCAGGAAUUCUGGUCUCGAUUAGAGUGUUGAUGACGAAACGUCACCAUCCUUAGCUGUCAAAGUAUCCUUUAGGGAGCAGUCGAAGAAAUGAUAAUAAAAGAAACGUUAUUUGUUUUCCGCUGAUCUCUCGAGUACGCGAGUGGGGUCUAAAAGUGCGCGCGAGAUCCUUUCUUGAACAGUGGCAAGUAAUCGAACCUAUUCCGCUUUAAGUGGUAUCAAAUUUUCCGACGCGCACGAGCAUCCCUGACCUUCUCAUAUGGGAGUUUCCCCAGGA
RNAcentral lists this long non-coding RNA (2433 nucleotides) under Orbicella faveolata. RNAcentral's name for it is "uncharacterized LOC110061173". The record is from RNAcentral. Lineage: Eukaryota; Metazoa; Cnidaria; Anthozoa; Scleractinia; Merulinidae.